Molecule: ribosomal RNA, 306 nt
Filed under: uncultured bacterium
Lineage: Bacteria
Description: partial 16S ribosomal RNA
Rfam family: Bacterial small subunit ribosomal RNA
Source: RNAcentral
GACAGCAGUAGCCGCGGGAAUACGGAGGAUCCAAGCGUUAUCCGGAAUCAUUGGGUUUAAAGGGUCCGUAGGCGGUCUUGUAAGUCAGUGGUGAAAGCCCAUCGCUCAACGGUGGAACGGCCAUUGAUACUGCAGGACUUGAAUUAUUGGGAAGUAACUAGAAUAUGUAGUGUAGCGGUGAAAUGCUUAGAGAUUACAUGGAAUACCAAUUGCGAAGGCAGGUUACUACCAAUUGAUUGACGCUGAUGGACGAAAGCGUGGGUAGCGAACAGGAUUAGAUACCCCGGUAGUCCCUGUCUCUUAUAC